This 258-nucleotide ribosomal RNA is filed under the name uncultured bacterium. Its description in RNAcentral is "partial 16S ribosomal RNA". It matches the Rfam family "Bacterial small subunit ribosomal RNA", at positions 1244 to 1500 of the family's 1533-position model. The record is from RNAcentral.
GGGAAGCAAAGCCGCGAGAUGGAGCAAACCCCCCAAAAAGCGGUCCCAGUUCGGAUUGUAGGCUGCAACCCGCCUACAUGAAGUUGGAAUUGCUAGUAAUCGCAGAUCAGAAUGCUGCGGUGAAUACGUUCCCGGGCCUUGUACACACCGCCCGUCACACCAUGGGAGCCGGUAAUACCCGAAGUCAGUAGUCUAACCGCAAGGGGGACGCUGCCGAAGGUAGGAUUGGCGACUGGGGUGAAGUCGUAACAAGGUAGC